CCUACGGGAGGCAGCAGUGGGGAAUAUUGGGCAAUGGGCGAAAGCCUGACCCAGCAACGCCGCGUGAAGGAAGAAGGCUUUCGGGUUGUAAACUUCUUUUGACAGGGAAGAGCAGAAGACGGUACCUGUCGAAUAAGCCACGGCUAACUACGUGCCAGCAGCCGCGGUAAUACGUAGGUGGCAAGCGUUAUCCGGAUUUACUGGGUGUAAAGGGAGCGUAGACGGUUAAUCAAGUCAGAAGUGAAAACCCAGGGCUCAACCUUGGGACUGCUUUUGAAACUGAGUAGCUAGAGUGCAGGAGAGGUAAGCGGAAUUCCUAGUGUAGCGGUGAAAUGCGUAGAUAUUAGGAGGAACACCAGUGGCGAAGGCGGCUUACUGGACUGUAACUGACGUUGAGGCUCGAAAGCGUGGGGAGCAAACAGGAUUAGAUACCCUGGUAGUC
This 442-nucleotide ribosomal RNA is filed under the name uncultured bacterium. RNAcentral's name for it is "partial 16S ribosomal RNA". It matches the Rfam family "Bacterial small subunit ribosomal RNA", at positions 338 to 795 of the family's 1533-position model. The record is from RNAcentral.